UGCCAGCAGCCGCGGUAAUACGGAGGAUCCGAGCGUUAUCCGGAUUUAUUGGGUUUAAAGGGUGCGUAGGCGGCCAAUUAAGUCAGGGGUGAAAUACGGUGGCUCAACCAUCGCAGUGCCUUUGAUACUGAUGGGCUUGAAUCCAUUUGAAGUGGGCGGAAUAAGACAAGUAGCGGUGAAAUGCAUAGAUAUGUCUUAGAACUCCGAUUGCGAAGGCAGCUCACUAAGCUGGUAUUGACGCUGAUGCACGAAAGCGUGGGGAUCGAACAGGAUUAGAUACCCUGGUAGUCCACGCCCUAAACGAUGAUAACUCGAUGUUGGCGAUAGACAGCCAGCGUCCCAGCGAAAGCGUUAAGUUAUCCACCUGGGGAGUACGCCCGCAAGGGUGAAACUCAAAGGAAUUGACGGGGGCCCGCACAAG
RNAcentral lists this ribosomal RNA (421 nucleotides) under uncultured bacterium. Its description in RNAcentral is "bacterial SSU rRNA". It matches the Rfam family "Bacterial small subunit ribosomal RNA", at positions 506 to 929 of the family's 1533-position model. The record is from RNAcentral.